UGCUGGUGAGGGACCAGCGGUGGAAGCACAACAACUUUAGGAAGCCUCUCUGGGGGAGCAGCCAGUCUCUGAUCAAGCUAGGCUUGGCCCCUCCCUCACUGGACGAGUGUGGGGGUGGAUGUCUCGUGAUGGGCUGCGGCUGCUAUUCCAGGAAACGUUUGUUUGAAGAAAAAGAGAUCCCACAGCCUGACAACAAUGGCGCACACAGAUUCCUUCGGGAACGAGAGGCUUUUCCUCCUGGGAUAGGGAGGAGCAACAAAAAAGCAGACAGAUCGACGAUGGACGAAGGAGCUAAGAUUGAGAUAUUAGGAAUGUAGCAAACUGAAGGUUGGCUUGAAGAGUUGUUUACAUAAAAUGAAAAGGAGACAGAAUCAGUGGAAUGUAUAGCAAGGUAUUCAAAACAAGACAGGUCUACCUUUUACCCCCAAACAGCGACUAAUACGGUUAUGUUCUCUGCAAUAUCAUGUUAUUCAGUUGGCAACAUUAACAGACCUACUUCUAAAAUGUCACAAGGAUAUACAUUAAUUACAGGGGAUCUAUCAAUCACUGCCUCUGUUUAGUAAAUCACAAUUACACAGAAAAAAUCAGCACAAUUACACUGAAUAAGAACAGGGACACCACCUUCAUGGUAGGUCAUAUUGAAAGACAGGUUUUGUCAUGGAGCUGAACAUUUGUCUAGAGUCCAGAAUUUUUUCCCACAAAAUGUGGGCAAGACUUUCUUGGGGUGUACCCUUCAAAAUGUAAAAACAGAGGAGGCCUUUUCAUGCUUCUUUUAAAUUUGCACGCCAGUGCCAAAUUUGUGCAUACCAGUGGAGACCAAGAAAAUGCGGUGGUGUGGUGUUCCAUGUUCCAUCCAUUCACAUUGUCUUCCACCUGCUGCUGCCAGAAGUGGCAAAGGGAGAACAAGGAGACGGUGGUGUGACUGGUAUGGGGAAAUCAACUGUUUUAUUUUGGGGUGUGGAUUCCUGGUCUCAGCCACAAACGGUGGAAAGAAGAAAACCUUUAAGCUCUGGGCUAAUUCUUCAACGCAACCCAGGUUUGUGUGCCCACUCAACCAGUAGACAUGGCCCAGACUUCUCCAAAUCCUUCCACCAGACCGAGCCCCGUCACAGUUAAAUUAUUAAUAGCCUAUUUAUUUUAACUUACAUUGUUGAAAUGGAAAUGUCAAAAGGACUGAAGCCAGAGAAACAAGCCUGUCAUUGUGCUUUGGUAUUGUUUACUUAUUAUAAACACUGAAAUGUUCUCCUAUUCAUUACGUUGUUAUAUUCAAACAACAAUGGAAAAAUUAAAAACAUUGUUUUACAAUGCUGCAAUGCUCAUGGCAGGUUCUUCCAUCUCCAACAUUGCUUGGCCCAUAGCCAUUUUAAAGUGUUUUGGAUUAAACACCUUUGAAUAGCUUUAUUAGUACCAAAAUUUACAGUGCUGUAAGAAAUGUUUUUUCGGCCCCUUCCUGAUUUCCCCUAUUAUUGCA
This is a long non-coding RNA of Anguilla anguilla (European eel), 1471 nucleotides long. RefSeq lists it as uncharacterized. The record is from RefSeq and is a predicted model, not a curated record. The transcript is spliced from 3 exons. NCBI's taxonomy places the organism in Eukaryota, Metazoa, Chordata, Actinopteri, Anguilliformes, Anguillidae.